UGGGAAGUUGGGUAAUCGGUAACCUCCUACAUUUGGGAUGUAGAUAUUGCCAGUUCGAGUCUGGUCUUCCCAA
RNAcentral lists this transfer RNA (73 nucleotides) under Caudoviricetes sp. RNAcentral describes it as "tRNA-Pro". It matches the Rfam family "tRNA". Rfam says of the family: Transfer RNA (tRNA) molecules are approximately 80 nucleotides in length. Their secondary structure includes four short double-helical elements and three loops (D, anti-codon, and T loops). Further hydrogen bonds mediate the characteristic L-shaped molecular structure. tRNAs have two regions of fundamental functional importance: the anti-codon, which is responsible for specific mRNA codon recognition, and the 3' end, to which the tRNAs corresponding amino acid is attached (by aminoacyl-tRNA synthetases). tRNAs cope with the degeneracy of the genetic code in two manners: having more than one tRNA (with a specific anti-codon) for a particular amino acid; and 'wobble' base-pairing, i.e. permitting non-standard base-pairing at the 3rd anti-codon position. The record is from RNAcentral. Lineage: Duplodnaviria; Heunggongvirae; Uroviricota; Caudoviricetes.